GGGGAAUUUUCCGCAAUGGGCGAAAGCCUGACGGAGCAACGCCGCGUGAGGGAUGAAGGCCUCUGGGCUGUAAACCUCUUUUAUCAAGGAAGAAGAUCUGACGGUACUUGAUGAAUAAGCCACGGCUAAUUCCGUGCCAGCAGCCGCGGUAAUACGGGAGUGGCAAGCGUUAUCCGGAAUUAUUGGGCGUAAAGCGUCCGCAGGCGGUCUGUCAAGUCUGCUGUUAAAGCGUGGAGCUUAACUCCAUUUCGGCAGUGGAAACUGACAGACUAGAGUGUGGUAGGGGCAGAGGGAAUUCCCGGUGUAGCGGUGAAAUGCGUAGAUAUCGGGAAGAACACCAGUGGCGAAGGCGCUCUGCUGGGCCAUAACUGACGCUCAUGGACGAAAGCCAGGGGAGCGAAAGGGAUUAGAUACCCCUGUAGUC
Molecule: ribosomal RNA, 424 nt
Filed under: uncultured cyanobacterium
Lineage: Bacteria; Bacillati; Cyanobacteriota
Description: bacterial SSU rRNA
Rfam family: Bacterial small subunit ribosomal RNA
Source: RNAcentral